CGGUCUUCAACUUUGAGAGUGUAGCUUGCGUUGUAUUAGCUAGUUGGUGAGGUAAUGGCGUCGACCAAGGCAACGAUGCAUAUCCGAGCUGAGAGGCUGAUCGGACACACUGGGACUGAGGACACGGCCCAGACUCCUACGGGAGACAGGCAGUUAGGAAUAUUCGGUCAAUUGGAGGAAAACUCGUGAACGAGCAAUGCCGCGUGAGUGAUGAAGGUCUUAUAGAUUGUAAAAACUCUGUUGCAAAGGAAGAAAUCUUAUUAUAGGUAAUGAUAAUAAGUUGACGGUACUUUGCCAGAAAGCCCCGGCUAACUACGUGCC
This 321-nucleotide ribosomal RNA is filed under the name uncultured bacterium. RNAcentral's name for it is "bacterial SSU rRNA". It matches the Rfam family "Bacterial small subunit ribosomal RNA", at positions 202 to 509 of the family's 1533-position model. The record is from RNAcentral.